GAACCCAACGUUGACCCUGUUGACCUCAAGGAUGAUGAAGAACCCAACUUUGGACCCAACGAUGAUGAAGAACCCAACUUUGAACCCAACGAUGAUGAAGAACCCAACGUUGGACCCAACGAUGGUGAAGAACCCAA
This is a non-coding RNA of Taeniopygia guttata (zebra finch), 137 nucleotides long. The record is from RefSeq and is a predicted model, not a curated record. NCBI's taxonomy places the organism in Eukaryota, Metazoa, Chordata, Aves, Passeriformes, Estrildidae.